This 1079-nucleotide long non-coding RNA is filed under the name Podarcis lilfordi (Lilford's wall lizard). Lineage: Eukaryota; Metazoa; Chordata; Lepidosauria; Squamata; Lacertidae. The record is from RNAcentral.
CUUCUCAAAUGCAUAGUAUUUCAUAAUCUAUAUUUUAUAUCUCUCCAUAUUGUCCAUAAUAUUUGCUAUUUGUUGUUAGAAUCCUGCUGAUGUUUUCAUCUGCUUACAGUGGUCUCCUAGGUAAAUUGUAAAUUUUCCCCAUUCUUUGUCGAAGUUUUGAUCUUCUUGGUUCCUGAGCUUUCCGGUCAGUUUUGCCAUUUCAACAUAGUCCACCAGCUUAGUUUGCCAUUCCUCUCUGACAGGGACUUUGUCUCCUUUCCAUCUCUGGGCUCAUAGCAUCCGUGCAGCUGUCGUCGCAUACAUAAAAAGUCUUUUCUGCUCCCUUGGGAUAUCUGCACCUACAAUUCCUAAUAGAAAGGCCUCCGGGGUUUUCUUAAAAUAAAAGUUAAUUUAAACAUUCCCCCCCAAUUCAUUAUACAGUGGUACCUCGGUUUAAGAACAGUCCGGUUUAAGAACGAUUUGGUUUACAAACUCCGCUAAACUGGAAAUAGUGUCUUGGUUUGAGAACUUUACCUCGGUCUAAGAACGGAAGCCGAACAUUGGAAGGGCACCGGUGGCGGGAGGCCCCAUUAGGGAAAGCACGCCUCGGUUUAAGAAUGGUUUUGGUUUAAGAAUGGACUUCCGGAACGGAUUAAGUUAAUAAAUCAAGGUACCACUGUAUAUCAUUUCCCAGAAUGCUUUUACUACCUUACAAGACCACCACAUAUGAUAAAAGAGUCCUUCUUUUUUCUUUACAUUUCCAGCAGUGCAAUGGACUUCCACUUACUGGAAUCUGUGCUGGUGCAAAAUGAUUCUGAUGAAGGGCCUGGCCUGCUCAUGAUGUCAUGCACAGUGAUGUCACUUAAUAUGUGCAUAGGGUAAUAAAGGCCCUAGCAGGGUCAAGACUUAACAGUGGGGAUCACGCACCCCUUGCAUGACCCUGCAGGCAACAAGGAGUUCCUUAAGCCUGCUGUUCAAUGCUUCAGGUAUGCUUCUGGGCAUGCUUAACAACAACAACAACAACAACAACAAGAACAAGAACUUAUUUAUACCCUGCUCAUCUGGCUGGGUUUCCCCAGCCACUCUGGGCGGCUUCCAAC